ACCACUUCAAUUUUAUCGGUUGUCAAAAAUUUUACUUUGUGAUUUUGUUCUUUUUUUCUUUGUAUUUUAAUUCAUACAUUGUAUUGUUUUCAAAUUAACUUCUUUUAUCUUUAAAACAUAACAAUAUUCUCAAAAUCUCAUUUCCUUAAAAACAAACCAUUUCAAAAAUUCAUUUAGAGUUCUCAGAAUCAAAAUCUCAUUCCCUUUAAAAAUUCAUUU
RNAcentral lists this long non-coding RNA (219 nucleotides) under Vitis vinifera (wine grape). RNAcentral describes it as "long non-coding RNA (VVIN_LNC003477)". The record is from RNAcentral. Lineage: Eukaryota; Viridiplantae; Streptophyta; Magnoliopsida; Vitales; Vitaceae.